RNAcentral lists this long non-coding RNA (1290 nucleotides) under Homo sapiens (human). Its description in RNAcentral is "HSALNT0153814". The record is from RNAcentral. Lineage: Eukaryota; Metazoa; Chordata; Mammalia; Primates; Hominidae.
AAGAUCCCAAAUGCAUUCCAGUUCUGGCAGUCUAUGAUUUGAGCAUGGAGAAUUAUGGGGUUGCUUCAAGAAGAGGCUGGAAAGAAGGAUUAGCACAAGACCACAAGAUCACAAAAAGCCUUGCCCGCUAUGCUCAGGCACUUGAACUUUAGCUGUAGGAAGCCACAAAAGGGAGAUAAUAUAAGCAGGUCACUGGGCUAGCAAAGCACCCUGAAGAGUUGAAUGAAUGAAAAAUGCAUGAGAGGGGAGAGGAGUCCAAAGACAAAAUUAUUCCAUCAGUCCCCGAGCAGGAGGUAAGAAAAAUGGAUGGACAGUUGGAAAGGUGUGAGGGGAUAGCCUUCACUAGUCAUCAACUUCCAUUCUAUUGUGUUUUCUUUUGUUUUUCUUUGUCUUAUCAUUCCAUUCCCAUCUUCACAAAGCAGAAUAAAAAUGACUCUCUUCACUGUCCAUCAAUGUUGUUGAUCUAUUCCCUCACACCAGAGAAGCACAAUGGCACCACAGCAAAGGGCAUGUGAUCUUCAGCUAAUUAAUAAAGGCCCUGACAUUGUUCCCCCACCAGAUCAUGGCAAUGGUUGGCCGCCUGUCCUAGAAGGAUCCACACUUCCCGGUGACCCAGACAUCCCAAGCUCCCAAAUUAAGCAUCUGCACCUCCUUAAUCAGCUUCAAAGAGGGACUUUCAGAAUGCCACUGUUCCAGCAACUUCCUCAGCCACCAUACCUGCUCCACCAUCAGCUCAGCCAGGCAAGAAUUCCCACAGGUUUUUCAGUGGACUAUAGUUAAAGAUGAAAAAGUCACAUCCAGACCUCUGAUUUAUGACGUGGCAUGAACUCAACACUUUUCUCAUAUUCUUGAGUCCGACAAAAAUGAGCAAACACAGAUAUAUAAAACUGGGACUGAGAAAAUAUUGGGUGCCUCUCAAAACACCUACAUAGGACACUCCUUGACUAUCCUGCAACCUGGGGUGGUGGGCUCAGUGACAAGCAGGGCACUGUUCCCUUGACUGUGGCUAAGGACACGUUUCUGAAAAGAGUUGCCAGCCCACAUCACUGGUACCUGACUUCACUCUCAACCUUUCCUCCAAGCUGCUUAACCCUGGGUGUGUGUGUACAUAUGCAACUCCUCUACCAAGAACACCCUUCCCCCAACCUUUUUUUAGAUGUUCAUAAAUUCAGAUCAUUUUUUUGUCAAUCGAACAGAGGAAUGAGUGAAUGACAGCUGUUUCUUGCAAGCCAGCAUCUUGAAGUCAACUUUGCCUCAUAUAACAGCAACAAAAUAUUGGAUUCAGAGAAG